Molecule: ribosomal RNA, 485 nt
Filed under: Peptostreptococcaceae bacterium canine oral taxon 003
Lineage: Bacteria; Bacillati; Bacillota; Clostridia; Peptostreptococcales; Peptostreptococcaceae
Description: bacterial SSU rRNA
Rfam family: Bacterial small subunit ribosomal RNA
Source: RNAcentral
GAGUUUGAUCCUGGCUCAGGAUGAACGCUGGCGGCAUGCCUAACACAUGCAAGUCGAACGGGGAAUAUAUGUGAAGUUUUCGGAUGGAAUAUAUAUUUCUAGUGGCGGACGGGUGAGUAACACGUAAGUAAUCAACCUAUGACACACGAAUAACUAAGAGAAAUCUUAGCUAAUACGAGAUGAGGUAUAUAAAUCGGAAGAUAUAUAUACGAAAGCUGAGGCGGUUGUAGACGAGCUUGCGUCUGAUUAGCUAGUUGGUGGGGUAAGAGCCUACCAAGGCAACGAUCAGUAGCCGACCUGAGAGGGUGAACGGCCACAUUGGGACUGAGACACGGCCCAAACUCCUACGGGAGGCAGCAGUGGGGGAUAUUGCACAAUGGGGGGAACCCUGAUGCAGCAAUGCCGCGUGAGCGAAGAAGGCUUUCGAGUCGUAAAGCUCUGUCGUAUGGGAAGAAAAAAAUGACAGUACCAUACAAGAAGCCCCG